Long non-coding RNA from Solanum dulcamara, 1690 nucleotides. RefSeq lists it as uncharacterized. NCBI's taxonomy places the organism in Eukaryota, Viridiplantae, Streptophyta, Magnoliopsida, Solanales, Solanaceae. The transcript is spliced from 2 exons. The record is from RefSeq and is a predicted model, not a curated record.
GUGUAGAAUGUGUAUAUAUAUAGAGCAUUGUAAUUGCUCUCUUCUUCCUCAAGACUUCUGAAUAAGAUCAAUACUUCUUCUCUUCUCUCAUUUAGUUCAUUCAUAGUGUAUCUGAUUUUAUGCACUAAUGAAUUGAAGAAGUAGCAUUACUGUAUGUGAAAAUUCACAUGUUAUCAGAGCACAAAUCAUAAUUGUGAGUUUAUGUUAUCCUGUUUGAAGAACAACAAUGGGGACAGUCAAGUUCGAUCAUCAUCACACCCUAUUUCUACAUCCUUCUAAUAAUACUGGAGCUUCGAUUAUACCAAUGCAGUUAACAGGAUCUGAAAAUUACUCUAUGUGGAGUAGGGCCAUGCGUAUUCAAUUGCUUGGAAAGAACAAGCUUGGAAUUGUGGAUGGCACCUGAAAGAGGGAGGAUUUUGGAACUGAAUUAGAACAUCAAUGGGAUAGAUGCAAUGCAGUCGUCCAAGGAUGGAUCAUGAGCUCAGUAACAUCAGAAUUGCACAUAGAAAUUGUGUAUGCAACAAGUGCUAAAAGUAAAUGUUUCACGAAUCUAUCAAUUACAUAAAGAUAUAGCUAGUCUUAUACAAGGAAAUGAUAGUAUUCCUGUGUAUUUUUCAAAACUGAGGAAUUUUUGGGAUGAGUUUGCUAGCAUAGUACCACCACCAUAUGAUUGCCCUAGAUCUAAAGAGUUUUGUGCUCAUAUGCAUAGACAAAAGUUACUGCAAUUCCUGAUAGGUUUGAAUGAAACAUAUGAUCAAUCUCGGAGCCAAAUUUUGAUGAGUAAACCAACUCCUAGUUUAAACAAGGCUUAUGCUACGCUUGUUGAGAGGAAAAGCCAACAAACCGUAGCUAGUUCAUCUAUGAGUGGUGAAGGAACAGAUCUAACAGCACUGAUGGCCAAAAUAGGUGAAAAUUAUCAACAUAAUAAGUGGGAAAAUCAUCAAUAUCAGAAAAGGAAGAAGAACUGGGAUCAGUAAUGUGACUUUUGCAAGUUGAAAGGGCAUGUGAAGAGAGACUGGUAUAGAUUGAAUGGAUAACCAGCUGACUGAAAAUUCAAGAAGAAAGACAAUAUGAACACUGCUAACAAUGUGCAUGUUAAGAAUGCACACUCAAAUGUACUAACAGGGAUCAAAGACAAGAAAGAUAUGUUGAAUAAACUGACAGCAGGAGAACUUCCAAGAGCACCUCUUAUGACAGGUGAACAAUAUGAUCAUAUCUUGGGAAUGAUCAACAAGGAUACUUCACAGCAUGGUGUAAUGACUAGCAUAGCAGGACCUUUCAACUGAAAAAUUGAAGGGGAUUGAUAAGCAACAUGAUGGGCUUUAUCAGUUAAUUCCACCAUAUCCACAUAAGGAUGGGAACACACAAUGUACAGAUGCAAAGGGAUUCACAACACAUAAUAACAAGAAGGAUGUAAUGUUGUGGCAUAGAAGAUUAUCUCAUGCUUUUACAAAGUCAAUAAAGAAUGUAUUUGGCUAUGCUUUAGAUGAUUGUAAAUCAGUACUAAACAAUUGUGACAUAUGUCCAUUAACUAGAUAUACUAGAUUUCUUUUCCCAAGCAGUGAUACUAGAACAACUAAGGCAUUUGCUUUGUUACAUUUGAAUGUAUGGGGUCCCUAUAAGACUCAAACUUUUGAUGUGAACAGGUUCUUUCUGAAAGUUGUUGAUGAUUCCUCCAGGAUCAUUUGGA